RNAcentral lists this long non-coding RNA (1054 nucleotides) under Zea mays. RNAcentral describes it as "drought responsive lncRNA". Lineage: Eukaryota; Viridiplantae; Streptophyta; Magnoliopsida; Poales; Poaceae. The record is from RNAcentral.
GGCUCAUCAAACUUCUCCGCAAACCUGAAGGUAUACUUCAAUUGGAUUAGACUACCCUCACUGGAGUUGGCGGUGGUUUCCUUUGGUAUAUCCCAGCUCUCCACAAGUGGCCAUACCCUGAAGGCUAUGUGCUCUUGAAUUAAAUCUCUCGUGCCAAUAAAGGAGCACACAGUGCUAAAGGCCUUCUUACACUUUUCAACGCCGCUAUCAAUAUUCACCUUCGGCCUUCAUAGACCGAAGCGGGACCAGACGGGGCGCUGGAUAACUUCCUUGAUAUCUUCUCUCUUCUUUAAAUCAUUCUUAACAUAAAACCACUCCUCCAUCCAGGCCCCAGGCCAUCUUUUCCGGAAUGUUGGCACCGGGUGGCUUGCAUUGGGGCGAGCAAUAAAUCCAUAACAACCGAAGUUGUUGUGGUACUGUUCUUUGCCAGUAGCCUUCGUCUCAUAUAAAAGCUCAUGCAUACUACAGAAGCACUUCGUGCUUGGCUCCAGCCCCUGACUUCUUACAGCCCAGACAAAAACCCCAUCCUAAUAAUAGCUUCGGGGGUAAUCUGAUGAAGGAAGAUUUGGUAUAUCUUCAGCACUUCAACCACAAACUUGCUCAGCGAGAACCGAAGACCUGCCUUUAGGAAGCUUCGGUAUAUAACAACUUCGUUUUCCUCCGGAGCAGGGGCAGUGUUGUCUCCUCUAACUCUGACAAUAGACAUGUCGUGAAAAUAUCUCCCCUCGUGGCAUCAAUAUGACUUUGCUUGAUGGUAGAUUUUCCGAAGAUAGUAUGGCUUGGGCGCCAUGGCCAAUCCUCAGAGUCUUCAUCCCCACUUUCCACGUCAUAACUAUCGCUAUCAUCAGAAUCUUUGGAUAAACCCUCCAAGAUCUCCUUAGUAAAUUUCUCCGUAUUUGUUUUUGCAAUGGACUCAAUAAAUCCAGCAAUGUAAGGAUCUGCAACCUUCUUCUCUUCAAACAGCUUCGUCUCCUCGGUUGUUUUCUUCUCUUCAGUCAUCUUUUUCUCAGCACUCAUCUUCUUCUCUUCAAAUUUGAAGCAAACGUGUCUUUAA